This 484-nucleotide ribosomal RNA is filed under the name uncultured bacterium. RNAcentral's name for it is "partial 16S ribosomal RNA". It matches the Rfam family "Bacterial small subunit ribosomal RNA", at positions 28 to 507 of the family's 1533-position model. The record is from RNAcentral.
AUUGAACGCUGGCGGCAUGCUUUACACAUGCAAGUCGAACGGCAGCGCGGGCUUCGGCCUGGCGGCGAGUGGCGAACGGGUGAGUAAUGCAUCGGAGCGUGCCCAGUAGUGGGGGAUAGCCCGGCGAAAGCCGGAUUAAUACCGCAUACGACCUGCGGGUGAAAGCGGGGGACCGAAAGGCCUCGCGCUAUUGGAGCGGCCGAUGUCGGAUUAGCUAGUUGGUGGGGUAAAGGCUUACCAAGGCGGCGAUCCGUAGCUGGACUGCGAGGACGACCAGCCACACUGGGACUGGGACACGGCCCAGACUACUACGGGAGGCAGCAGUGGGGAAUUUUGGACAGUGGGGGCAACCCUGAUCCAGCCAUGCCGCGUGCGGGAAGAAGGCCUUCGGGUUGUAAACCGCUUUUGUUCGGGAAGAAAUCCUCUGGGCUAAUACCCCGGGGGGAUGACGGUACCGGAAGAAUAAGCACCGGCUAACUACGUG